RNAcentral lists this ribosomal RNA (253 nucleotides) under uncultured bacterium. Its description in RNAcentral is "partial 16S ribosomal RNA". It matches the Rfam family "Bacterial small subunit ribosomal RNA", at positions 524 to 776 of the family's 1533-position model. The record is from RNAcentral.
UACGGAGGGGGCUAGCGUUGUUCGGAAUUAUUGGGCGUAAAGAGCUCGUAGGCGGUUUGUCGCGUCGAAUGUGAAAACCCGGGGCUCAACCCCGGGCCUGCAUUCGAUACGGGCAGACUAGAGUUCGGUAGGGGAGUCUGGAAUUCCUGGUGUAGCGGUGAAAUGCGCAGAUAUCAGGAGGAACACCGGUGGCGAAGGCGGGACUCUGGGCCGAUACUGACGCUGAGGAGCGAAAGCGUGGGGAGCAAACAGG